AGAGAAUACAUCGAAAUGAGAAGAUCCUGCCAUGGAAAAGACGACUGGGCGGACAUAAAGUGGAAAGGAGGGGAAAUAACUCACACCUUCAGCUGUGGGGUCUUUGUAAUGCAGGAAGUUGCACAGAAAUUCCCCAACAUCCCUUCCCAAAUUGAUAUGGAACCUUCAAAAACACAUGGAGCAACUGCAAAAAGAAAUGGCUGAGGAUAUACUAAAUAUGUCUGGGUCUUCACAAAAAUGUACCUAAAUCAAUUUUGGAAAAAGGAUUUUACUCACAAAAGACACAGGACAUUCUCUUCGUUAUUUAUCUUCAUAUGACAAAGAAUAAAAAGAAUUUGCCAAUA
Molecule: long non-coding RNA, 344 nt
Organism: Oncorhynchus keta (chum salmon)
Lineage: Eukaryota; Metazoa; Chordata; Actinopteri; Salmoniformes; Salmonidae
Exons: 3
Source: RefSeq, a predicted model, not a curated record